Molecule: transfer RNA, 75 nt
Filed under: Janthinobacterium sp. Mn2066
Lineage: Bacteria; Pseudomonadati; Pseudomonadota; Betaproteobacteria; Burkholderiales; Oxalobacteraceae
Description: tRNA-Arg
Rfam family: tRNA
About the family: Transfer RNA (tRNA) molecules are approximately 80 nucleotides in length. Their secondary structure includes four short double-helical elements and three loops (D, anti-codon, and T loops). Further hydrogen bonds mediate the characteristic L-shaped molecular structure. tRNAs have two regions of fundamental functional importance: the anti-codon, which is responsible for specific mRNA codon recognition, and the 3' end, to which the tRNAs corresponding amino acid is attached (by aminoacyl-tRNA synthetases). tRNAs cope with the degeneracy of the genetic code in two manners: having more than one tRNA (with a specific anti-codon) for a particular amino acid; and 'wobble' base-pairing, i.e. permitting non-standard base-pairing at the 3rd anti-codon position.
Source: RNAcentral
CCGCCUAUCGUUCAACGGAUAGGACAACGGUCUUCUAAACCGUGAAUGGGGGUUCGAUUCCCUCUGGGCGGACCA